Molecule: transfer RNA, 77 nt
Filed under: Desulfobacterales bacterium
Lineage: Bacteria; Pseudomonadati; Thermodesulfobacteriota; Desulfobacteria; Desulfobacterales
Also listed under: 1 other name
Description: tRNA-Arg
Rfam family: tRNA
About the family: Transfer RNA (tRNA) molecules are approximately 80 nucleotides in length. Their secondary structure includes four short double-helical elements and three loops (D, anti-codon, and T loops).
Source: RNAcentral
GCGCCCGUAGCUCAUCUGGAUAGAGUAUCGGACUACGAAUCCGAGGGUAGCAGGUUCGAAUCCUGCCGGGCGCACCA